UCCCUGAUGGUUCAGAUGGUAAAGUGUCUGCCUGCCUUGCAGAAGACCCAGGUUUGAUCCCUGGGUUGGGAA
Molecule: transfer RNA, 72 nt
Filed under: Bos taurus (domestic cattle)
Lineage: Eukaryota; Metazoa; Chordata; Mammalia; Artiodactyla; Bovidae
Also listed under: 4 other names
Rfam family: tRNA
About the family: Transfer RNA (tRNA) molecules are approximately 80 nucleotides in length. Their secondary structure includes four short double-helical elements and three loops (D, anti-codon, and T loops).
Source: Rfam by way of RNAcentral